Ostrea edulis (European flat oyster) is the source of this 412-nucleotide long non-coding RNA. RefSeq lists it as uncharacterized. Lineage: Eukaryota; Metazoa; Mollusca; Bivalvia; Ostreida; Ostreidae. The record is from RefSeq and is a predicted model, not a curated record. The transcript has 2 exons.
AGGCUUUUUCGUACUUACUACAGCAAUCAACAUGAAGGUAGCAGACAUUUUCCUUCUGUACGCCAUGUUUUCAAUCCUCACACUAGCCGUAUGUUCUAAAUACAACAGACGACACACUUCGGCAGACGCACAGGGUCGAGGAGUUGUAAUACAGUCUGGUAGGAAUGUUAGACCGCCCGAUGAUGUAUGGUGUGCUUUCUGUCGAGGGAGACACGGAAAGAGCCUAAUAUGCUAUAUGUACUGUACACAAUAAGGCAAACUCUGAUUACAUACUUCCAUGGCGUGGUUAGACAAUAUGAUAAAUAUAUUGAAAUGACAGCAUAGAAGUGACUGAUGCAAGGAAUGUAAAAUUGUUUAUAAAUCAAUCAAUAAAAGUAUAAAAUGAAAUAUUAUACAGUAUAUGUCAAACAAU